CCUAACACAUGCAAGUCGAGCGGAUGAAGGGAGCUUGCUCCUGGAUUCAGCGGCGGACGGGUGAGUAAUGCCUAGGAAUCUGCCUGGUAGUGGGGGAUAACGUCCGGAAACGGGCGCUAAUACCGCAUACGUCCUGAGGGAGAAAGUGGGGGAUCUUCGGACCUCACGCUAUCAGAUGAGCCUAGGUCGGAUUAGCUAGUUGGUGGGGUAAAGGCCUACCAAGGCGACGAUCCGUAACUGGUCUGAGAGGAUGAUCAGUCACACUGGAACUGAGACACGGUCCAGACUCCUACGGGAGGCAGCAGUGGGGAAUAUUGGACAAUGGGCGAAAGCCUGAUCCAGCCAUGCCGCGUGUGUGAAGAAGGUCUUCGGAUUGUAAAGCACUUAAGUUGGGAGGAAGGGCAGUAAGUUAAUACCUGCUGUGGGACGUACCA
This 434-nucleotide ribosomal RNA is filed under the name Pseudomonas aeruginosa. Its description in RNAcentral is "bacterial SSU rRNA". It matches the Rfam family "Bacterial small subunit ribosomal RNA", at positions 47 to 480 of the family's 1533-position model. Lineage: Bacteria; Pseudomonadati; Pseudomonadota; Gammaproteobacteria; Pseudomonadales; Pseudomonadaceae. The record is from RNAcentral.